GAUGAACGCUGGCGGCGUGCUUAACACAUGCAAGUCGAACGAUGAAGGAGAGCUUGCUCUCCGGAUUAGUGGCGAACGGGUGAGUAACACGUGACUAACCUGCCCCUUUCUCUGGGAUAACGCUCCGAAAGGAGUGCUAAUACCGGAUACGAACUCUGAACACAUGUUCGGAGUUGGAAAGUUUUUCGGAAAGGGAUGGAGUCGCGGCCUAUCAGCUUGUUGGUGAGGUAAUGGCUCACCAAGGCGACGACGGGUAGCCGGCCUGAGAGGGCGACCGGCCACACUGGGACUGAGACACGGCCCAGACUCCUACGGGAGGCAGCAGUGGGGAAUAUUGCACAAUGGGCGAAAGCCUGAUGCAGCGAUGCCGCGUGAGGGAUGAAGGUCUUCGGAUUGUAAACCUCUUUCAGUAGGGACGAAGCGAAAGUGACGGUACCUAAAGAAGAAGCACCGGCUAACUACGUGCCAGCCGCCGCCGUAA
Molecule: ribosomal RNA, 481 nt
Filed under: uncultured bacterium
Lineage: Bacteria
Description: partial 16S ribosomal RNA
Rfam family: Bacterial small subunit ribosomal RNA
Source: RNAcentral